This 381-nucleotide unclassified non-coding RNA is filed under the name uncultured bacterium. RNAcentral describes it as "contains 16S-23S intergenic spacer region". The record is from RNAcentral.
UCCGGCUUAUCACCGGCGGUUUCUUUAGAGUGCCCAACUAAAUGAUGGCAACUAAAGACGAGGGUUGCGCUCGUUGCGGGACUUAACCCAACAUCUCACGACACGAGCUGACGACAACCAUGCAGCACCUGUGUUCCCCCCGGCCGAACCGACGACCCCGAUCUCUCAGGGUCUAAAGGGACAUGUCAAGGGCUGGUAAGGUUCUGCGCGUUGCAUCGAAUUGAACCACAUGCUCCACCGCUUGUGCGGGCCCCCGUCAAUUCCUUUGAGUUUUAGCCUUGCGGCCGUACUCCCCAGGCGGGGCACUUAAUGCGUUAGCUCCGGCACGGGAGGAGUCGACACCUCCCACACCUAGUGCCCAUCGUUUACGGCGUGGACUAC